Daktulosphaira vitifoliae (grape phylloxera) is the source of this 2930-nucleotide long non-coding RNA. RefSeq lists it as uncharacterized. The record is from RefSeq and is a predicted model, not a curated record. The transcript is spliced from 8 exons. Lineage: Eukaryota; Metazoa; Arthropoda; Insecta; Hemiptera; Phylloxeridae.
ACGUCUUGCGUGUAUAGAUAUAUUAUGUUAUCUGCAGUGCCGGUGACCGGAGAAGGAAGAAAGGACAAGAAGUACACAUAGAACACAGAACCUACACAGCGCAUUGAAGAGAGAAAUGUACCUACAACUAAGCACAUAAUGAAACCUGUCUAAACGAAUGAACCCACAACUAUCGGAUAUUUCUUCUCUAUUGCCUUCUUCGACGUUUGUGAGUCAUAUCAUGUGCGUAAAAAAAAAUUCCAUCGAGUUUUAACUGCCCCUGAAGAGAUAGACACACGGCUGUGACGACUUCAUUUCGUCUGUGUACCAUCGUGAUGACGGUUCACGUUGUACCAGAUUGUCAGGGUAAGGUAUACCUGUAAACCAUAACACGUUGGCUAUUGUGAAUUCCUCGAAACACGAGAAUCAUUCGUCAUGAAGUGAUGUGUCAAACGGAAUUAUUUGAUCUACAGGUAUAGCACCAACCUAGUUUUAGGGACUACUUCCUCCCAGCAGGAUUCGACAAGAUAUACAAUAGAAUAUACAAGUCAUAUCCUUUCCGCUGUUGUCAUGAACUCAAUAGGAUAUUUUCUGCUAAAACAUUCUCACGUCCAAGCAAAGUGGUCGAACCGGAAUGGAUAAUGCGUUGGAGGUAGUCGUUGUUUACGAAAAGAUCGGUCGUUCAUUGAUGAAUACAUCCGAACCCGAGGCUUGUGUAUCCGAUAACUAAGAAAAAAGGUGAUUCCCAUCGUAUGUUUAAAUAAAAACGACAAUGUUUAAAACGACUAAAACCGGAUUUUUGCGUUGUUCUCUGAAACGGCCACAAAGCUCCAUCUAGAAAAAUCAGAGGUUCUAUCAAAAGGUCAAAAUUAUUGAUAGAUGUAUUAAAAACUUAUAUAUACAUGACGCUUAAAAAUUGUCUAAAGGAGUGUGUUGAAAUGACGCAGAUAUACAUGCCCUGAGCAGUAACACAAGAAAUACUACGAAAUUAUUGUUUGUACUCUUUUGACAAUAAUUUGUAUGUUUUCAACAUGCAACAAAUGAAUGACCAGUAAAACUCGACACAGAUUGUGCCAUUAACUACUGUAUUGGUGACCACAAUUGUGAUUACUAUUAUCGAGAUGUGCACGUUUAAAGUGGAAGCAAGGCCAAACACCUCCAGUAGGUUGCUAACAGUGAAGUGUUAGCAAAUUAUAACAUAUUAACCAGUUGUUUGACACUAGAGUAAAAUAAUUUCUGGUGAUAUUCAUAGGUGAAACAAUAGUUUAUUUAAUUAUGGAAAGACAAAUAGACAUCUGACACGUGGCAACAUCUCCUAAUCCGGAAGUUGAAAAAUUGGAUUACAUCUAUGGCCGUUGAUAUCAUUAGCUAUUUUAUAGUGAUACAGUUUAACGUAAAAUACUUCACCGGGGACAGAUAGUGUUGUAUCACGCGAUUUUAACACAAAGAAACAGAAAAUUCUACAGGAUAGACACAUCCGGUCUUUAUUUUUAAAACUACACUGUGCGUAACGUAUCAGUUUUUUUUAAGUUAUGGCGUUUAUAAGUUAGCUUCCAUUUUUUUAAAUUUCUUUGUAGACUACAUGUUUGGUCAAUACUUAUAAUUAAUACAAUAAUUCCAUUUGUUUUUAUCUGCUACAGAACAAAAGGAUUUCAAUGCGAACGUAUCAAGUUCAAUAUAAUUCUCAGUGGAUUCCGAUUAUCAUUACCCAUUUCAGGUAAUAUAAUAGCAUUUGUUGUUAGGCAACACAAUAGCGAAACAACCAGAGUAUUCAUGAAUACAUUAUUAUAACUAUUGCAAGUAAGAAGAUGUGUUGGGUUCUAUGUCUUGUACAUCGAUAAAGGCUAUUGAUCUCAUGGAUCCUCAUAAGAAAUUAACAAAAUUAAAUAAAAACUUAACGGUAAUAUUUAUUCUUGAGGUUGAACGUUCAUUUGAAAGCAUCUGUAAAAUGAUAGCGCCACAACAAUAAUUAUAUUUAAAAUUUAGCGUCAUGUUAUUAUGUUAAUUAUGGAUACAAACAAUCUUUAAUAUGAACUUCGAAAUGUUUAUAUUUUUAUACGGUUAAAUUAAUAAAACGUCAAAAAAAUGAUUCUUGUAUAAGGAUAAUGUCUUUAAAAAAAUUAAAUAUUUAAGUGAGAGUUUCAUGGAUAAUUUAUUGCCCUACAAUCAGAGCUGGAUUAAAAUCCAUAUGGGAAGGGGGCCCAUAAAGUAUAGUAGCGAUAGGCAACCAUAAAAAAAGUGAUGAGCAAAAUAAAAAAACCAGAAAAACUGUUCGUCACUUAUCAUGACAUGCUUGUAAAAUACGAGAUAGGCCCUUUAAUUUAGGUUUGCCUACAAAAGGUCCUUAAUAAAUAAAUAAAAAUUUUUUUUUAUUACUUGUUUAUCUGAAACUCAAGAACAUUAAAGAAAACAAAUUUAAUUUUCAGGAUGUUUUUUUAUUGAGAAAUAUUUUAUUUUAUAUAUUUCAUAUAGGGAAAGUUACUAAAUUUUAACGAUUGGCGUUAGUGACAAUCAGCCAAUGCCUAUUAUGCUAAUUAUGUAACUCGUUGCGGUGAAAUUCGAACUGAACUAUUUAAGUUCAAAUUAUCAAGAAAUGACAUUUGUAUUUAGAAUCGGCAUUUGGUUAUGUUUUAUGUACUGUCAUAUCCUUGGCCUAAUAGUUUUAAUUGAACUGUAAUAGUGCGUGUUUAAGUUCAAUUAAAAUUCCAAACUUUGACAGCGUUUGUGUUGGUUGUGAAAUUCAAGAUGUGUUGUUGACAAUGUAAUAAACUGUGAAAAAAUGUUUUACUAAACAACUCAGCAAAAUAAGCGUACAAGUCGCGUUAAGAAAACCCUUGGAACAACUAUAUAUUUUUAUAUAUGUGCUCUAUGAAAUUGUUUAGGCUAUACAUUGCUUGAUAAUGUGUUACCUCAACGAUUUUACAUGGAAUUUAUUGCAUUAUCUACCUAGU